This 61-nucleotide transfer RNA is filed under the name Dipodomys ordii (Ord's kangaroo rat). The record is from Rfam by way of RNAcentral. Lineage: Eukaryota; Metazoa; Chordata; Mammalia; Rodentia; Heteromyidae.
GGCGCUGUGGCUCAAGUGGUAGAGCACUUGCCUUGAGCCCAAGAGCCGAGGGACAGCGCCC